RNAcentral lists this long non-coding RNA (1081 nucleotides) under Marmota monax (woodchuck). The record is from RNAcentral. Lineage: Eukaryota; Metazoa; Chordata; Mammalia; Rodentia; Sciuridae.
AGAAUGCACUAUAAGUGGCACUGGUCUGAGCUAACUAAUCAUGCUGAUUCCAUUUCCCUUGCCCAAUGAUUGGUUUAGGCAUGAGCAUGAGACAUGAUUUCUAUUUAAUAAGAGGGGAUCUCUACUGGAGGCAUAGGGAAAAGUUUCUCUUAGUCUUAAUAAGGAACAGUUAUAUCCUUUUUUUCUAAUAUUUAUUUUUUACUUUAGUUGGACACAAUACCUUUAUUUUAUUUAUUAUUUUUUUGUGGUGCUGAGGAUCAAACCCAGGGCCUUAAAUGUGCUAGGUGAAUAUUCUACUGCUGAGUUACUACCCCAGCCCCAGUUAUAUUCUUUCUUCUAGCCUCUUGAUGUUAUUUUAUGACUAUGGCAUGCCUGAGUAGCUGUAGUGAUCUUGUGAUCAUAAAGUGAAGGACCAACUGACUAAAGAGUGUGAAUAGGAUAAAGGGAAACUGGGUGCUUAAUGAUUUUGCUAGAUAAAUUACUUAUUCUGGAGUCUCUCAAUAUCUGCACUUAUAGAAAAUAGUAAAAUGACUUAUUGAUUGAUUCUCUUUGUGUUGACUUUGCUAUUAUUUUCCACUGAAAUAAUUCUAAGUGAUAUACCUUGAGGAACAUAUCAGGGUUAACUAAUUUGGGCACACAGACUUCCUUGAAUUUAGGAUAUUUUACAGUGACCUUAGAAUUCCCAGAAAAAAAAAUUGUAAGGAGAAGAAAUGGUUAGACAAAGCUGUAUAAUAUACUGGCCCACCAAUCAUAACAGGUAUCAUUCUAUUUCUAGAAUCUAUUUUUAUUCUGCUUUAUUUAUUUUUAUCAGUAUAUAGCAAAUCUGAUUGUGUGUGUGUAUAGUUCCAUAAAUUUUAACACAUGCAUGUAUUUGCAGAACCACCACAAUCAGAAUAUAGGACAGUUCCAUUACCCACUAAACCUUCAUCAUGUGAUUGCUUUGAAGUCACAGCCCCCACUUCUAAUCCCUGAUCUGUUUUCAAUCACUAGUUUUGUCUUUAGAAAAAUGUCCUAUAGGGCUGUGGUUGUGGCUCAGCAGUAGAAUGUUCGCCUACCACAUGUGAGGCCCUGGGUUCAAUCC